CGAAGGCAGUUGUGGCUCUGAGCGCAUAGGCGAGGCAUUCCUGGGGUUUGCGCCGUAUCCUUUUACAAAGUCCUGGCUUUGGCUGGUGCGACCAAAGAAAGGAAACCGGCGCUUGAGACUUGUCUGGGCUGGCUAUGGUGAAGCAGUGAAACGGUGCAGAAUUGUGUCAAUGAGGCUAGUUCAGUUGUGCAAGAGCAUUUCCUCAAAGUAAGACAGAAGCUUUUAGUUACGUCAACACCUGCUAAUGUUAGGCUGGCCAGAAAUUUCCUGACAAAUAAUGGGUGAAGGUCGGGCGUGUGGUCGCUCAUGCCUGUAAUCUCAGCGCUUUGGGAUCACUUGAGGUCAGGAGUUCGAGACCAGCUUGGCCAACUAGGCGAAACCCCAUCUCUACUGAAAGUACAAAAAUUAGCCGUGUGUGGUGGCGCGCAUCUGUAAUCCCAGCUACUCUGGAGGCUGAGGCAGGACAAUCGCUUGAACCCAGGAGGCAGAGGUUGCAGUGAGCUGAGAUCACGCCACUUAAAAGAAACGAAACUUUGCUGGUGACCAUGUGGUGAUGAAACUGAGCGUUUUGGAGCGCAGCAAGGUGACUCCCCAUGUAAUUAGUAUAGACAGAGAGUUUGUGCUCUAAAGGUUAGAAAUAAAUGUUUUCGGCCUGGUGGCUCAUGCCUGUAAUCCCAGGACUUUGAAAGGCUGAGCCAGGCGGAUCACCUGAGGUCAGGGUUCGAGACCAGCCUGGCCAACAUGGUGAAACCCGUCUCUAUUAAAGAUACAAAAAUUAGCCAGGCGGAAGAAGUCACUUAGCUCUUCGCUGGUUGUCACACGUCCGGAGGCCGAGCCGUCGCGUACCUAGGAUACCUGGAAGCCGAAGCCACACCUCCCGCAUGGCCCCUCCGGCCAGCCGGGCCCCUCAGAUGAGAGCUGCACCCAGGCCAGCACCAGUCGCUCAGCCACCAGCAGCGGCACCGCCAUCUACAGUUGGCUCUUCUGCUGCUGCGCCCCGGCAGCCAGGUCUGAUGGCCCAGAUGGCAACCACUGCAGCUGGCGUGGCUGUGGGCUCUGCUGUGGGGCACAUACUGGGUCAUGCCAUUACUGGGGGCUUCAGUGGAGGAAGUAAUGCUGAGCCUGCGAGGCCUGACAUCACUUACCAGGAGCCUCAGGGAACCCAGCCGGCACAGCAGCAGCAGCCUUGCUUCUGUGAGAUCAAACAGUUUCUGGAGUGUGCCGAGAACCAGGGUGACAUCAAGCUCUGUGAGGGUUUCAAUGAGGUGCUGAAACAGUGCCGACUUGCAAACGGAUUGGCCUAAUCAAGAAGUUCAACCUGGAGAGAUGGAAAAUCAGCUCUCAUACUAAUUAAUUUAGUAUAAAAAUAGAAUUGGUAGUGAGGGUAUAAAGUGUAAGCAUCAGUUAAACUUCUCCUGUCAUUCCUAGCUUCCUUGCUUCAGAAUUGAAAUGGAAGGGAGGGUGUUCCUACUCUGUAGAAUCUGGGACUGGGCAAAUGUUUGUGUGGCCUCCUUAAACUAGCUGUUAUGAUUUUAUUCUUUGUGAGUUAAUUAGAAUAAAGUCAUUUUCUUCCAAAAAAGAAAAAAAAAAUAGCCAGGCAUGGUGGUGCACGCCUUUAAUCCCAGCUACUAGGGAGUCCGAGGCAGGAGAAUCGCUUGAACCUGGGAGGCAGAGGUUGCAGUGAGCCGAGGUGUGCCACUGCACUCCAGCCUGGGCAACAGGAUGAGACUCCGUCUCAAAAAAAAAAAUAAUAAAUAUUUUCACUCCACAACUGUCUUCCAAUUUGGAGAGUCUGCC
Molecule: long non-coding RNA, 1797 nt
Filed under: Homo sapiens (human)
Lineage: Eukaryota; Metazoa; Chordata; Mammalia; Primates; Hominidae
Description: non-protein coding lnc-DNAJC16-1:1
Source: RNAcentral